Molecule: ribosomal RNA, 382 nt
Filed under: Hemiclepsis sp.
Lineage: Eukaryota; Metazoa; Annelida; Clitellata; Rhynchobdellida; Glossiphoniidae
Description: partial small subunit ribosomal RNA
Rfam family: Eukaryotic small subunit ribosomal RNA
Source: RNAcentral
AGCUCCAAUAGCGUAUAUUAAAGCUGUUGCAGUUAAAAAGCUCGUAGUUGGAUCUCGGGCGAGGGUACUGGUGCGCUUCGCGGCGUCUACUUCGUAUCCUCCGCCUUCUUGCCGCCGCCCACGAUGCACUUCAUUGUGUGACGUGUUGUGUGACGGAAAGUUUACUUUGAAAAAAUUAGAGUGUUCAAAGCAGGCUCUUGCCUGAAUGAUGGUGCAUGGAAUAAUGGAAUAGGACAUUGGUUCUGUUUUGUUGGUCUAAAGAACCGAUGUAAUGAUUAAGAGGGACGGCCGGGGGCAUUCGUAUUACGGUGUUAGAGGUGAAAUUCUUGGAUCGCCGUAAGACGAACUACUGCGAAAGCAUUUGCCAAGAAUGUUUUCAUUA